This 440-nucleotide ribosomal RNA is filed under the name uncultured bacterium. Its description in RNAcentral is "partial 16S ribosomal RNA". It matches the Rfam family "Bacterial small subunit ribosomal RNA", at positions 338 to 795 of the family's 1533-position model. The record is from RNAcentral.
CCUACGGGGGGCAGCAGUGGGGAAUAUUGCACAAUGGGGGAAACCCUGAUGCAGCGACGCCGCGUGAAGGAUGAAGUAUUUCGGUAUGUAAACUUCUAUCAGCAGGGAAGAAAAUGACGGUACCUGACUAAGAAGCCGCGGGUAACUACGUGCCAGCAGCCGGGGUAAUACGUAGGGGGCAAGCGUUAUCCGGAUUUACUGGGUGUAAAGGGAGCGUAGACGGUAUGGCAAGUCUGAUGUGAAAACCCGGGGGUCAACCCCGGGACUGCAUGGGAAACUGCCGAACUGGAGUGUCGGAGAGGCAAGUGGAAUUCCUAGUGUAGCGGUGAAAUGCGUAGAUAUUAGGAAGAACACCAGUUGCGAAGGCGGCUUGCUGGACGAUGACUGACGUUGAGGCUCGAAAGCGUGGGGAGCAAACAGGAUUAGAUACCCGAGUAGUC